RNAcentral lists this ribosomal RNA (268 nucleotides) under Escherichia coli. Its description in RNAcentral is "partial 16S ribosomal RNA". It matches the Rfam family "Bacterial small subunit ribosomal RNA", at positions 1 to 265 of the family's 1533-position model. RNAcentral also lists the same sequence under 1 other name. Lineage: Bacteria; Pseudomonadati; Pseudomonadota; Gammaproteobacteria; Enterobacterales; Enterobacteriaceae. The record is from RNAcentral.
AAAUUGAAGAGUUUGAUCAUGGCUCAGAUUGAACGCUGGCGGCAGGCCUAACACAUGCAAGUCGAACGGUAACAGGAAGAAGCUUGCUUCUUUGCUGACGAGUGGCGGACGGGUGAGUAAUGUCUGGGAAACUGCCUGAUGGAGGGGGAUAACUACUGGAAACGGUAGCUAAUACCGCAUAACGUCGCAAGACCAAAGAGGGGGACCUUCGGGCCUCUUGCCAUCGGAUGUGCCCAGAUGGGAUUAGCUAGUAGGUGGGGUAACGGCU